RNAcentral lists this ribosomal RNA (872 nucleotides) under Salmonella enterica subsp. enterica serovar Saintpaul. RNAcentral describes it as "partial 23S ribosomal RNA". It matches the Rfam family "Bacterial large subunit ribosomal RNA", at positions 711 to 1503 of the family's 2925-position model. Lineage: Bacteria; Pseudomonadati; Pseudomonadota; Gammaproteobacteria; Enterobacterales; Enterobacteriaceae. The record is from RNAcentral.
AGACCCGAAACCCGGUGAUCUAGCCAUGGGCAGGUUGAAGGUUGGGUAACACUAACUGGAGGACCGAACCGACUAAUGUUGAAAAAUUAGCGGAUGACCUGUGGCUGGGGGUGAAAGGCCAAUCAAACCGGGAGAUAGCUGGUUCUCCCCGAAAGCUAUUUAGGUAGCGCCUCGUGAAUUCAUCUCCGGGGGUAGAGCACUGUUUCGGCUAGGGGGCCAUCCCGGCUUACCAACCCGAUGCAAACUGCGAAUACCGGAGAAUGUUAUCACGGGAGACACACGGCGGGUGCUAACGUCCGUCGUGAAGAGGGAAACAACCCAGACCGCCAGCUAAGGUCCCAAAGUCAUGGUUAAGUGGGAAACGAUGUGGGAAGGCCCAGACAGCCAGGAUGUUGGCUUAGAAGCAGCCAUCAUUUAAAGAAAGCGUAAUAGCUCACUGGUCGAGUCGGCCUGCGCGGAAGAUGUAACGGGGCUAAACCAUGCACCGAAGCUGCGGCAGCGAACGUAUCACUUAAAGCGAUUCAGCGGGUUACGAUUGACGGAGCGAAGCGACGUCAAAGCGUAUACAAAGUCGAGUCGGUUUAAGGAUACGUUCGUUGGGUAGGGGAGCGUUCUGUAAGCCCGUGAAGGUGGCCUGUGAGGGUUGCUGGAGGUAUCAGAAGUGCGAAUGCUGACAUAAGUAACGAUAAAGCGGGUGAAAAGCCCGCUCGCCGGAAGACCAAGGGUUCCUGUCCAACGUUAAUCGGGGCAGGGUGAGUCGACCCCUAAGGCGAGGCCGAAAGGCGUAGUCGAUGGGAAACGGGUUAAUAUUCCCGUACUUGGUGUUACUGCGAAGGGGGGACGGAGAAGGCUAUGUUGGCCGGGCGACGGUU